GUUCCAUGAGUGCCUCACAUCAAAGGCAGCAUGAAGGCAGGUGCAGCCUUUGUUCUGAUGGUUUUCAUCAUCAUGGGGAUGGAGCUGGCAUGCGCAUGGAGACCUCCUUUCAAAGGGCAAAAAAGACCCAGCGUGUGCCCAGAGGUGCCCAAAGGAUUCCUUGGGACUUGUGUUGAACUAUGCUCGGGAGAUCUAUCAUGUCCCAGGGGGAUGAAAUGCUGCAGCAAUGGAUGUGGUCAUGCCUGCAUGUAUCCUGUCCCACAAGGGGGAGCAUAGCCCUAGUGGCCGUGUGAAAGAUGGACAGGACAUUUAUGAAGCAUGCCUGGAUACCAGCCCCCAGAAGAUUCCUCAUGAAUCCAUGAAUCUGAUGCUUGGCAUUAACAAGACUCUUCCACAAUCCAUUCCUGGCUAUUACCUAGGAAUUGUAGGCCCUAGAAGAAGACUAUCUAAAGUGGUGCUAGAAGAAGACUAUCUAAAGUGGUAAUUCCUCAAAGGAGUGACUGCUUUCUAAAGAGCUUCUGUCCAAAAUAAACUGUAUCUUUGGCAUUA
Molecule: long non-coding RNA, 549 nt
Organism: Neomonachus schauinslandi (Hawaiian monk seal)
Lineage: Eukaryota; Metazoa; Chordata; Mammalia; Carnivora; Phocidae
Exons: 3
Source: RefSeq, a predicted model, not a curated record